GGGUCAUUAGCUCAGUUGGUAGAGCAUCGGACUUUUAAUCCGCUGGUCGCAGGUUCGAAUCCUGCAUGACCCA
This 73-nucleotide transfer RNA is filed under the name Plasticicumulans acidivorans. RNAcentral's name for it is "gamma proteobacterium TUD-JY37 tRNA". It matches the Rfam family "tRNA". Rfam says of the family: Transfer RNA (tRNA) molecules are approximately 80 nucleotides in length. The record is from Rfam by way of RNAcentral. Lineage: Bacteria; Pseudomonadati; Pseudomonadota; Gammaproteobacteria; Candidatus Competibacteraceae.